Long non-coding RNA from Nematostella vectensis (starlet sea anemone), 1082 nucleotides. RefSeq lists it as uncharacterized. The record is from RefSeq and is a predicted model, not a curated record. The transcript is spliced from 3 exons. NCBI's taxonomy places the organism in Eukaryota, Metazoa, Cnidaria, Anthozoa, Actiniaria, Edwardsiidae.
CCCAAUUGACGUGCUAUUUGUAGACAAAACUAUAAAGCAUAAGCUAGAUAACCCUGGUACGUAGCCAAAUCCGACAAUAAAAGUCCCGUGAAGAUACUGCAAAGGCAUAAAAAAUCCCUCUUUGUUCUUUCGGGGGUAGUCAGAUUUCUAUUAGAGAACUCAUUUCACUCGUCGUCGCCUUACUCGUCCCCUCUCAGAACAGCCGAAUUCCGAGCUACGGACAAGCAACCAUUGCCUGGGCUACCUGUGAUUACAUUUGCGUUUCAAGAGUCACCUACGCGCGCGCUUAACAAAUACUCCGGUCGUUAAAUCAUGAUUCACUUACCAGCUCUAGCAAGAAGAAGUUCAAACUCAGUUUAAAGUUUAAGAACGCACUUUGAAUUGCUCGAGCAAUCGACACUAGGGCCACAAGGACCACCCACGCAAACAGCGUAAUCACAGGUAGUCAUGAUCAAGAAAAAUAUCAAGCAUCAUCUGAAUUACAAUUUUAUGCUUGCCUGAUUUUAUAAGAAGCAGCCUCAUGUGAUCUCUUUGUGUUGCCCUAAAGCCUUUUGUGGCUAACGGAGGUGUUACUGUAACAGGAUGCCGCUUUGAGGGAGUGUGACAAUUCUUUUAGCUUAUGCCCUUAUGUCAACGAAGCAUGUUUGCUUGUGGUAUUCGUGUUUUAUUCUUCGAUUGGUGUUUCCUACGGUAUCUUUUUAAAAUAAUUUUGGCAUCAUUUAUAUGUUUUUUUUUAUAGAAUGAAGAACAUAAAAUAAGAAAUAAUCUAGAAUAAAAACUGCAAGCCGACUAGUUGAACUAUUCUUUAUAUCGGGUUUCCUUUGCAAAUUCAUGCAUUCUCAUCUGGUAGACCGCUGAUCAGUUGUCAUCUGAAACCAGACUCGUGUUCAAGUACUUGACCUUUGCAUUGAAAUUAAUCUUACAAAUCGGCUUUUCUCCCAGAAACCUCUUGGCAGAAGAUGAAGAGGGCAAGACCUGUGCUAAAUGCCAGAGAGAGGGACAUGGGGAGGCUCAUUGCCUCCAAAAAUCAAGAAUUACCUGAGGGCCAAGAUGAAUGCUAAACACUGGAAGACAUGAGAAUU